AGAGCGCGGAGGCGCGGAGGCCUGUGUAGCCGUAGCCGCUGCCCCACCUCAGUGUUAGUUUCUAGGCGCCGCGGUUUUCUGCGCUUCAGCAGUGGAUCUUGGUGGGUUCGGGGCAGCUUGGGGCGGACAAGAAUGCUGAAGGCUUUUGCCCAUACUGCUCCCUUUGCUGAACACUGCAUUUGGUCACUCGAAUUCACCCACGAGGUCUCUGUUUAGACGAUGCUUGUUCCAGACAGUGUUCGGCACCUCCCGAUACGGUAGAGGUCGCGCACCCUCCGCUUGGCCUCGUUCAUGUCCCGACUGAAAAUGGGCUUCACCGAGGUGCUGGCCGCAACGGCAGCCUGGCGGAGUCUGCUCGCCGCCAUCUUGCUGAGACAAUCACUUCCCAGCUCCACCCCGUUUCGACCUCUAGAGUGAUGAUCUUUGACACGAGUAGAAAGGAGGCUCCAAAUAUAUAAAGUUCUUAAAUAGUAUCUUACUUUAAAGAGUAACUUUAAGUUUAUG
This 504-nucleotide long non-coding RNA is filed under the name Bos mutus (wild yak). RNAcentral's name for it is "lncRNA (ENSBMUG00000025257.1)". Lineage: Eukaryota; Metazoa; Chordata; Mammalia; Artiodactyla; Bovidae. The record is from RNAcentral.